GGCUGUCGUCAGCUCGUGUCGUGAGAUGUUGGGUUAAGUCCCGCAACGAGCGCAACCCCUAUUGUUAGUUGCCAUCAUUCAUUGGGCACUCUAGCGAGACUGCCGGUAAUAAACCGGAGGAAGGUGGGGAUGACGUCAAAUCAUCAUGCCCCUUAUGACCUGGGCUACACACGUGCUACAAUGGUUGGUACAACGAGUUGCGAGUCGGUGACGGCGAGCUAAUCUCUUAAAGCCAAUCUCAGUUCGGAUUGUAGGCUGCAACUCGCCUACAUGAAGUCGGAAUCGCUAGUAAUCGCGGAUCAGCACGCCGCGGUGAAUACGUUCCCGGGCCUU
This 333-nucleotide ribosomal RNA is filed under the name uncultured Streptococcus sp. Its description in RNAcentral is "bacterial SSU rRNA". It matches the Rfam family "Bacterial small subunit ribosomal RNA", at positions 1047 to 1382 of the family's 1533-position model. The record is from RNAcentral. Lineage: Bacteria; Bacillati; Bacillota; Bacilli; Lactobacillales; Streptococcaceae.